AUGUAACUGAUUACUGAGGUUACUUUAAGCGGGAAAAGAAUUUUCAAUAUGGAUGCCAUGAUGACAAUUCAUAAAGGAGAAAUAAAGUUUAAAUUCUUGUAUCGAAGAAAGAAAUAUAUAUUAUAUUGUGAUCACGUGCAAUGUGGUCAGUAGAUUCAGUGUUUGUUUCGUAAUAGUAUUUUUAAAUAUUUUCGAGCACAAUAUAUAGUUUUAAGUAAAUUUAAUUAUAAUAAAUAUACGCGAAAUUAAAGUCAGUGUUCAUUCGCUGAUAAAAAAAUACAACGAACAUAUUAAGUUAAUUUUUUUAUUAUUUUUCUAUUUUAAAUAUAUUCGUCUUCGGUAAAGUAUACAAUCAAUAUUUGUGUAAAGAGAAUAAAGGUGAUUUUGUUGCGCAACCAUUGUGAAUUUGAAGAUUUGCAAAAGAACAAUAUAAUAAAAGAGAAUUUACUUGAAAAUAAAUAAAUUUUUAUGCAAAAGAAGAGCAGACGUGUGGGACGUAUCGUCGUUAUCAGGAUAAAUUUCCAAUUUGCAACAAUCUUCAAAGAGAUAUGUAACUGAUUGCUAAAUUACUUUAAGUGGGAAAAGAAUUUUCAAUAUGGACGCCAUGAUGAUAAUUCACGUUUUACGGAGGAAAAGUAAAAUUUAAAUUCUUGUAUCGAAAAAAAAGAUGUAUGUUUUAUUCUUCGAUUUUUUGCAAUUUCUUUUGAUGUUUGUGCUGUACAACGAUCACGAAUAUGAAUGUUUUCCAAACAGGCAACAAAAAAAGAAUUUAUUUGAAAAUAAGUAAAUUUUUUCGCAAAAAAAAAGAUGAAUGGAACAUGUCAUGAUCAGGGUGGGUAUCCAAUUCUCAAUAAAAUCCAAAAAGUGA
This is a long non-coding RNA of Apis laboriosa (Himalayan honeybee), 868 nucleotides long. RefSeq lists it as uncharacterized. NCBI's taxonomy places the organism in Eukaryota, Metazoa, Arthropoda, Insecta, Hymenoptera, Apidae. The transcript has 4 exons. The record is from RefSeq and is a predicted model, not a curated record.